This is a non-coding RNA of Plutella xylostella (diamondback moth), 3025 nucleotides long. Lineage: Eukaryota; Metazoa; Arthropoda; Insecta; Lepidoptera; Plutellidae. The record is from RefSeq and is a predicted model, not a curated record.
CAUUCACUCACUCAGUUGUCAACUGUCAUUGUGUCAUUUGCGACGUGUGGUUGUGUUCAACAGAAUAAUUUUUUUAAUGUAGUUAUUUUCGAAGAAAUACGAUAGAUCUUACGACUAAAAAUACUUGGAUUUGCAGUGUAAUAGUUUUAUAAGUAAAUAGUGAUACCUAUUUGUGAGUAACGAGCGGGGAAGUGGAAGUGAAAAAUCGAUCGCCUCUCGCAGUGUAUUUGAAUGCGUGUGUUGCACUCUAAUUUUUUUUGUUGUUGCUGGAGUUGAUUGUUCCGUGCCGAGUAUUGAUAAUGGCAGGUGUGUGAGACGAGCAAGAUUUUCCGAUUUAUGAAAGACGUGUUUUGUUGCGACGCCGAUGGAUAUUUAGCAGCGUGCGGAGUGCCGGCCGCAGGAUGAUGGUGGAGACCAUGCUCGAGUGUUCGCAGGACUUCGGAGGCAUGUCGGGCGCCGGCGUGCCGCAGUGGAAGAGGGAGCUGCUGCAGCGGCGCCUGGCGCGGCCCCGCCCCCCGCCGCCCGCGCCGCCACCGCCGCCGCCCCCGCAGCGCGACGACGAGGACCUGCGCUACGGGCCCGGCAUCGUCAAGCGCCUGCAGUCGCGCUACCUGUCGCUGGCGCUGCGCGAGCAGCCGCGCCGCCGCUCCCUGCGCCGCGCCGCCUCGCUCGAGCUGCUGGACGCGCCCGCCCCGCGCCCCGCGCCGCGCCCCGCCUCGCUCGCGCUCCCGCCCCCGCGCCGCGACUCCGUCAAGCGAGCCCGGUCCGUGGACGCGCUCAGCCGCCUGGAGCGCCGCCCGCCCUCGCCCGUCGCGCCCGCGCCGCCGCCCGCCGCCCCCGCGCCCGCCGCCGCCCCGCCCGGCGACGCGCCUCCCGCCGAGCCCGGCCAGCCCCGCGCCGGCCGCCCGCCGCGCCGCCCGCAGCCGCUGCUGCGCCAGGCCGAGCGCCCGCCGCCCGACCUCGUGCGCUCCGCUCUACGCAAGUUCGAGGGGAGCGGCGGGCGGCGCGGGGCGGGGGGCAGUGCCCCGGCCGCGCGCGUGGCCGCCGUGGUGCGCGGCCUGGAGCCCCGCGAGCCCAGCCCCGCGCCCGGCGAGCCGCGCCGCGUCCCCCGCGCCGCGCUGGACGGCAUCGCGCGCGCCGGCAGCACCACGCGCUACGCCUUCCCCGCGACCCCGCCCCCGCCCGCUGCGCGCGCGCCGCUGCCGCCGCCGCCGCCGCCGCUGGCCGCCACCAACCCUGUGCUGGCGCGGCGCGUGGGCGUGAUCCGGCCGCUGCCGCCCGCCGCGCCGCCGCCGCCGCCGCGCCCCGACCACCUGCGCCUGGAUAAGCCGGCCCCGCGCCUCGCCAGCCCGGAGCCCGCGCCCGCCGCCCCCCCCGCGCCCGCCCCCCCCGCCGCGCCCGCCGCCCCCGCCGCGCCCUGGCGCCGCGCCUCGCUCGACGCCACGGAUCGCGCCCACGACAGGACACAGUCUCCGGACCACAUUACUUCUCCCGACAAAAUUGUAUCGCCCGAAAAGAUGGUCUCUCCUGACAAAGUUGUAUCGCCGGAUAAAAUUAUUACUAUAGACAAAAUUAUAACUCCAGACAAAUGUCUCUCUCCAGACAAAAGUAUCUCUCCAGACAAAAUCAUCCCUCUAGAAAAAAUCAUGUCACCAGAUAAACUAAUAGCACCAGACAUAAUAAUAAUUCCGGAAAAAAUUAUAACUCAUGAAAAGAUCCUGUCUCCAAACAAAAUAACUUUUGCUGACAAAAUAUUGUCAUCAAACAGGGUGUUGUCUCCUGACAGAAUGUCGCCGCUGGACAAGACCUUUACUUCGGACAGAAUUGUGAGCCCAGACAAAAGCUCCACUGUGGAAAAGACGACAUCACCGGACAAGAAUACCUCUCUGGACGACAUACCCUUCAUGAACAAGAUGAGAGAUGCGGAGAAGCGCUCGUCGGCGGAGGUGGCGCCGCUGGUGAACGGGCACGCGGGGGGCGCGGGGGAGCCGCGCGUCAACGGCAAGGCGUGCAAGAUCAGCGCCGCCAAGAUCGAGCGCGGCUGGAGCCCGGGCGAGCGCCGCGCCCCCGCGCCCGCGCCGGCGCCGUGGGGGCGCGCGGGGGCGGCGCGGGGGGCGCCCGCCGCCGUGUCCGUGGUGUUCAACUUCUCGUCGCGCGCGGAGGUGCCGGACUACAUCGAGAACGACGGCGUCAUCCUGCGCGCCAGCAAGCGCGACAAGCUCAAGCCUGGCGACCCGGGCGUGGUGGUGCUGGACGCGGCGGCGGCGGCGGCGGCGGCGUCCGACUCGGACUCGGACGAGGGCGGCGCGGGGGGCGCGGGGGGCGCGGGGGAGCCCGAGCGCCUCGCCGUGCGGUUCACCAACGACAACGUGCUCAUCAACGGCAAGUCCUCGCUGCUGGCCAGGACCAACCGCGACCGACUGCUCAAGUUGAAGCUUCAGUUCGACGACUCGCUGACGCGCACCUUCGAGUACCCCUCCGAGACGUCGCUGUGCGAGGACGACUCCCCCGCCCCCGCCGCCCCCGCCGCCGCCGCGCACCCCACGCUCACCUCCAACACGCAUAUAGCGUCGGCGGCGCUGGCGGGCUACACGCCGAGCAAGACGCGCGCCGAGGAGUUCCGCCUCGGGCUGUCGCGCCAGGACCCCGCGCCGCCGGCCAAGACACCUGCCGUGGAGACAGCUGAAGAAGAAGAAGACGAGGAGCUGGGCGACGUGCGGCCGUGCGGGGGCGCCGCGCGGAGCUGGAGCCAGGCGCGCGCCGCCCGCACCGACCUGCUGUUCUAGUGCGAGCGAGACAGACGCAGGGCAGGUGAGUGCGAGCGAGACGGACGCAGGGCAGGUGAGUGCGAGCGAGACAGACGCAGUGCAGGUUGUUGAAACCGACACGGAUGAAGACGCGGUGCACGGCGCCGCAUGGACUUGUGUAAGCUAAGCUUUAUUAGACAUAGCCACUAUUACAUAUUAAUAUUAUAUAUUGUUAUGUUCACAUUCCAAAAUAUUAUACAUUCGAUUAAAGAAAGAGA